This is a long non-coding RNA of Pelmatolapia mariae (spotted tilapia), 725 nucleotides long. RefSeq lists it as uncharacterized. The transcript has 3 exons. The record is from RefSeq and is a predicted model, not a curated record. NCBI's taxonomy places the organism in Eukaryota, Metazoa, Chordata, Actinopteri, Cichliformes, Cichlidae.
CACACCGUGGGAUGUAAGGAGCUCUCUGAUUGGUUGGUCAGACACAGGCUGUCUGCCAGCCUGGAUUUUUCUAGCUCAUAGCUUCUCCCUGCUAAGAAGCGUGUGUGCUUGUACAAAGGCCGUUCAGCCUCGGGAUUUACACUCGGCUCGACACGGAUAUGUGAAGAAUGAAGGGACCCUGCAGCGAAACGGAGAGCCAACCUCUGACUGAGUACUUGUUUACGCAGUCUGACCACCUGUUGAAGGGCUGUUUGAUGACGAUUUGGACUCCUCUGGGAGAUGAGGACACACCCACAUCUGUUCCAUACUGCAGCCAUUGAUGGUGUUACAGCUCUGAGGCAGCUUUGGGCCAUCAGACGCACACACUGGAAAACCAGCACCUGGACUUCAUGCAGGAGAGACGGCCUCAGUGAUUUAGAAUUAAUCAGCAGCUGUGGAGAGAUGCAUUUGAAUAUCUUCUGGUUCCACUUUUCCUAACCUGGAAGCUGAGGAUGGCUGAUUUCUGACAGGGACACACACCUCAGCGCUUAUCAUGGGUGUUACAUCCUCUGUGCCGCGAUUCCAGAGAAAACGAGAGAGUAACGACCACUCAUUAAGACCAGCCAGAAAUCUGUCCCUUUCUGGCAGCUGUAAAAAAACUUCAAAUAAGAAAGUUUGCAUUCUUAGAACAAUGCUGGGUCAUGUGUGAUGUGUCAUCAUAUGAGGAUAUUACAUUUUGACUUAAU